Molecule: long non-coding RNA, 947 nt
Organism: Carassius gibelio (silver crucian carp)
Lineage: Eukaryota; Metazoa; Chordata; Actinopteri; Cypriniformes; Cyprinidae
Exons: 6
Source: RefSeq, a predicted model, not a curated record
CAACCCAUUCUCACUCCAAAGGCGUCAAAAACCGAAGCAUGGUCAAGCGCCCCUAGCGUCACUUUUAUGACGCCAAAUGUGCCUCUCGGCGUCGAAUAUCGAAGCACUACGACCUUCAUUGCUUUCAGUGGGAAACUUUUGGCGUCAGAAUUCGACACGACGAGGACAUGAGAUGUUUAUCGCUAUGAAAUCACGUUCAAGAAGUCUCAUUCAGCACACAUCGCGAUACUUGCUAUCAGUUCCACAGUUUGGCUGAAAAGACGUAAAGGAAGCCCAGUGGUGUUUCUGGAGAGGGAUUCCUUCAGAAAUGGAGAAGACAGAAAGCUGCGGAGGCAGAUAUAUGCAGCAGUCUAAAAUAUCAAGCUCAACAGCUCACUCAAGAGCCAACCCUCACAAACCUUCCUAAAAACUAAAAGAGCUAUUACUGAGUCUCAGCGAAUCUUGCCAUGAUCAGCUCUUCCCAGAAGAGAAGGAAGACCAAGGAAAUGAUUUGCUCAGGAUGAGGAAUGAAGAUGGUCAUCUUGUGCUCAAACAAACAGAAGUCCUCUGAUGAUCUCAUCAGCCAAAUGAGGGGUUUUGACCAAGUGAUGCUCUUGAAAGGAGUGAAAGAAGAGGAUGUGGUAAAUUGUCUUCAGAGAAAAAGCUUCUCAAAAGGUCUCAAAACAGCUUGAAGAAUGGUCUGGGAUGUUAGGACUGAGAGAUCCUAUGGCUGAGAGAAGCUACACCACAUCAGUGCUGGAUAUCAACCACAAACUGUUUCCAGACACGAGAGAAGAAGAACACGAUGGGGAGAUGAGACCAGUUUAGAUGUGAUGAUGGGAAUCAUUAUUUUCUGGAACAGUAUCAAAUGUCUUAUAUGUAUCACAUGAUCUGUAUCACAGUUGACUGGAUGGGACUGUGUGACUUUUAAGGACAUUUCAUCACUCAUCUGUGAGAACUGAUUUAUA